RNAcentral lists this ribosomal RNA (469 nucleotides) under uncultured bacterium. Its description in RNAcentral is "partial 16S ribosomal RNA". It matches the Rfam family "Bacterial small subunit ribosomal RNA", at positions 28 to 508 of the family's 1533-position model. The record is from RNAcentral.
GACGAACGCUGGCGGCGUGCUUAACACAUGCAAGUCGAACGGAAAGGCCCUGCUUUUGUGGGGUGCUCGAGUGGCGAACGGGUGAGUAACACGUGAGUAACCUGCCCUUGACUUUGGGAUAACUUCAGGAAACUGGGGCUAAUACCGGAUAGAAGCUCCUGCUGCAUGGUGGGGGUUGGAAAGUUUCGGCGGUUGGGGAUGGACUCGCGGCUUAUCAGCUUGUUGGUGGGGUAGUGGCUUACCAAGGCUUUGACGGGUAGCCGGCCUGAGAGGGUGACCGGCCACAUUGGGACUGAGAUACGGCCCAGACUCCUACGGGAGGCAGCAGUGGGGAAUAUUGCACAAUGGGCGGAAGCCUGAUGCAGCAACGCCGCGUGCGGGAUGACGGCCUUCGGGUUGUAAACCGCUUUCGCCUGUGACGAAGCGUGAGUGACGGUAAUGGGUAAAGAAGCACCGGCUAACUACGUGC